GACGAACGCUGGCGGCGUGCCUAAUACAUGCCAGUAGAACGCUGAAGGAGGAGCUUGCUUCUCUGGAUGAGUUGCGAACGGGUGAGUAACGCGUAGGUAACCUGCCUGGUAGCGGGGGAUAACUAUUGGAAACGAUAGCUAAUACCGCAUAAUAGUAGAUGUUGCAUGACAUUUGCUUAAAAGUUGCAAUUGCAUCACUACCAGAUGGCCCUGCGUUGUAUUAGCUAGUUGGUGGGGUAACGGCUCACCAAGGCGACGAUACAUAGCCGACCUGAGAGGGUGAUCGGCCACACUGGGACUGAGACACGGCCCAGACUCCUACGGGAGGCAGCAGUAGGGAAACUCCGGCAAUGGACGGAAGGCUGACCGAGCAACGCCGCGUGAGUGAAGAAGGUUUUCGGAUCGUAAAGCUCUGUUGUAAGAGAAGAAAGAGUGUGAGAGUGGAAAGUUCACACUGUGACGGUACCUUACCAGAAAGGGACGGCUAACUACGUG
RNAcentral lists this ribosomal RNA (495 nucleotides) under uncultured bacterium. RNAcentral's name for it is "partial 16S ribosomal RNA". It matches the Rfam family "Bacterial small subunit ribosomal RNA", at positions 28 to 507 of the family's 1533-position model. The record is from RNAcentral.